This 311-nucleotide non-coding RNA is filed under the name marine eukaryotic metagenome. The record is from RNAcentral.
UAGCUUAACUGCCGCAUUUCUGCCUGUUGGCAAGAUAGUUUGAACAGAACCUUUACCAAAAGACUUUUCACCCAUGAUGAUAGCUCUUUUAUGAUCCUGCAAAGCACCUGCAACAAUUUCUGAUGCUGAAGCUGAACCGGCAUUUAUCAAAACAACCAAUGGAAUACCAUUAAUUUCAUCACCCGGAGCUGCAUUAAACCUCAUUUCUGAAUUUUUAAUUCUACCUUCAGUAUAAACAAUCAAGCCUUUCUCUAAAAAUGCAUCACUAACUUCUACCGCUGCAUUUAAAACUCCACCUGGGUUAUUCCUUA